GUUAAUGCGUAUGCUCUCCCUCAUACCAACGGAUGAGCUGUGAAAGACCAGACGCAAUUCUCCUGUCUCCACAUUUACAGUGCCGAAACCCGGGAAGGAGGAGGGAUGCCCGUCACAGAGUCCUCAACACUGCGUCCACCCAAAGGAACGCAGCUGCCAUCCGCCGGGGAACGGAGUAGCCCGACCACCCGGACGCGGGGAACGGCCGCCGUCCGCGAGGUGAGUGGACUGGACUCCCCGACCGCCUGGAGUGAUGGAGCUGCUGUCAGGGGUGGAGGAGUGCCCUGCCGUCCCCAAGAAAUGCGGAGGGGUCGAGAGAAGACCGCCGUCCAUGAGGGGAGAAGGGAAGCGACUCCCCGACCGCCUGGAGCGGUAGGGCUGCUGCCAGGGGCGGAGGAGUGUCCCCACGGGUCGCCGGGAACGCGGAGGGGCAUUCUGUCCGCUGGGGGUCGGAGGUCUGACUCCGGUCUGCCCGGGGAGGAGCGGCUGCCGUCCACCUGAGAGGGUGGAGGAGUGAUCGAGGACCACGCGACGGCGCAUCAGAGAACUGGUCGAGGAAGGCGGGGAUGACCCAUCAGCAGUCGGGGCGCAAGGCACCAUAAAUAUUGGCUGAAAUAGUGUAUUUUAGUGAGAUGGAACUAUGUUAAUAUUUAAAGUACAGAAUAAAAUUUGCAUAGAUUUUAUAAUUUGUCAUCUUGGAUAAACAUUUUCAAUAAGCUUUUCACAUUCUAAGAUUCACUGAUUCCCAAAGGACACAUGUAAC
Long non-coding RNA from Myxocyprinus asiaticus (Chinese sucker), 763 nucleotides. RefSeq lists it as uncharacterized. The transcript is spliced from 3 exons. NCBI's taxonomy places the organism in Eukaryota, Metazoa, Chordata, Actinopteri, Cypriniformes, Catostomidae. The record is from RefSeq and is a predicted model, not a curated record.